This 3564-nucleotide long non-coding RNA is filed under the name Sus scrofa (pig). RNAcentral's name for it is "lncRNA (ENSSSCG00015035616.1)". The record is from RNAcentral. Lineage: Eukaryota; Metazoa; Chordata; Mammalia; Artiodactyla; Suidae.
UCACUUAUUGUAAUUUUCAUCUCUGCUUGCUUAAUCUUUAAAUCUUCUAUUUCUUUGCUCAGUGUUUCUUGUAAUUUAUCAAUAUUUGUCUCCAGUAUAUUUCCAAGAUCUUGAAUCCUCUUUACUAUCAUUAAUCUAAAAUCUUUUACAUGGAGGUUGGUAAUUUCCAGAUCACUUAUUUCUUUUGAUGUUUUUUUUUCUUCUUAUUCUUUUAUCUGAGUCAUAACUCUGUGCCUUUUCAUUUUGGAUAGUUUUUUGUGUGGUCUCCCUUUUUCCAGGCAAUAGGGUCAUAGCCUCUCUUGCUUCUGGUGGGUUUUCGGGGUCGCCUUGGCGCUGUCGCUGCUGGCCUAUUCCAUAGCCACAUCAAAGUAGGAUCCAAGACAUGUAUGCAACCUACACUACAGCUCAUAUCAACACCAGAUCCUUUACCCACUGAGCAAGGCCAGUAAUCAAGCCUGCAUCCUUAUGGACACUAGUAGAGCUCAUUUACCACUGGACCAUGACAGGAACUCCAGCAAUGUUAUUAUUAAUAGGCUAGAGCAGUCAGGAGAUGAAGAAAGUCUAAAAAGGACCAAUCAAGAGUUUAGCUACAUGAAAAUGAAAGACGGAUAUGGAAAUAAUGUGUAGCUGCUAAGAAGACUAUAUUAGAUUCUUAAAAUAAUUGUGUAAGUACUAGUUCUACCUAAACUAUGAUGCAAAGCUAUUUAACAACUGGCUAAGACUGAGACGGAUUGUGGGGGUAAAAUGAUAAAUACCAACUUUCUUUCAGAGUUUGCUUGGCCUUCAUUUAUUACCAAGUUUUAACCAACAAGCUAACGCAUUUCAGACCAUAAGGAGAAGCAGAUACUUUAAAUAACAUGGCUAUGACUAUUUUGAAAUAUACUUAUUUAAUCAGUUAAUUUUGUUUUAUUAUUUGUUAAAAUUAAUAUCUAUCUUCUCCAGUGGUAUGUUGCCAAUAGUUGAGCACAAUGAUAAUUCAAUAGUUAUUUAUGUUUACAGAUAUUUAAUUAUAUUUAUGCUGCUUUUAAUUUUAGAUAUAGGCUGCAGGUGUGGCUUAAAUCUGUCAUUGCUGUGGCUAUGGUGUAGGCUGGCAGCUGCAGCUCUGACUCAACCACUAGGCCCAGGAACUUCCAUAUGCCACUGGUGUAGCCCUAAAAAUAAAUAAAUAAAUAUAUUAAAAUGGUUUGGUCAUUGAUACGCCAUCUCUGUUUAAAAUAGAGUCGAUGUUUUUCUUUCAAAUCCAUAAUGUUAAUUUAUUGAACAUUCCUCCAAUAUUAAAAACAUACCAAGCUAAUUUUCUCUUAAAAUUGUACAGCUUGGGGAGGUUCCAUUGUGGCACAGUGGAUUAUGUAUUCAGUUGUAGAGCCUUGGGUCACUGUGAAUGUGUGAAUUCAAUUCUCAGACCUGUGCAGUAGGUUAAAGUAUCCAGCCUUGGCAUAGCUGCUGCAUAGGUUGUAGCUGUGAAUGGGAUUCAUUUUACCUGGCCCAGAAACUUCCAUAUGCCGCAGGAGCAGCCAUAAAUUACAAAACAUAAAUGCAUAGCUUGGCCUCUCAGGAAGCAUGAUAGAAGAUGAGGAGUUGAACUUGAGUACUGUUAGUUCUCUUUAUUGCCUUGAGGAAAUGUGGAGGACGGCAUAGAGUUUUCAGUGGUAUCUGUUCAGAAUUAGACUUAGGAAAAGGAAUUGGUUGUGGGGCCAAACUGCGUUAGUCUGUUUAAACACCUUAUCUGUUGCUACUUUAUAAAUAUUACACAUUAAUAACUUACUAUUAUUAUUAUAUGCAAAUAAUUAUUUCACAAAUUUGAUACUUUUUAAGGUGGAAAAACAGGAAUUAUUUUAGACUCCCUUCUUUUACCUUUUUUUUAUUACUCCCUUUUUUCUUCGAUUCCAUCUUAGAGGCUGCUUCCCACAACGGCAUUAUUUUUUUUGGCUCCACCCACGGCAUGUGGAAGUGCCCAGCCCAGGGAUCAUUUCCAAAGCACAGUUGUGACUUAUGUCACAGCUACAGCAACACCCGAUCCCUAACCUCCUGCACCACAGCAGGAAUUCCCACAGCAGCAUUAGUUUAGGCAUGCUGUAGAAGACAUGACCCAUUCACUACAGAAUAGCCAAUUAUAAUAACCCAUGGCAAUUAUUUGUGUCAGAAUUUACAACCAGGAAAUAUUCCCUGGUUUCUAACAAUCUGAUCUAGAUUUUACAUCAUGGUCAAUACAAAUCUUUGAUCUAAUUAUGCUCCUUCUCUGUUGUCUAUUAAGGAAAUUCAAAGCUUAAUCUGUGGUUGCUUUUUAGUAAUGGUAGAGGAUAUUAGGGCAUACAUUUUGUGUACUAAAAUCAUCUUAAUUUUUACUGAUUGUUGUAUUUGUUUAUCCCUUUGCACUAAUCUCUUCAUGUGUCUUUUUAACCUUGUAUUUCUAUAUGUCUUUCAUUUCAUGCCUAAACCAAGGUUAAUAAUUAUAAAAGAAAGUUAAAAAAAACUCCUUACUAUAUUUUAAAUUUAUUUCUUUAUUUUGAUUGAUCCUUAGUUUGUCUUUGUUAGACUGUUUAUCUAUAAUUUGGUAAGUUGCUUUAUAUACUUCGUGCAUACAUAUAUAUAUAUAUACACACACACACACACGUGUGUGUGUGUGUGUGUGUGUGUGUGUAAGGCUGUGUAAUACUGAAUCUAGAAUACAGAAUUUUUUCAUUCUAUCGAAAAUCAUAUAAAAGAUUUUAUUUAGCACCUCUUUAAGGUGCUUCUAGUUACAAUAUUUGUAGGACCUCUGAAAUAUGCUUUGUUAAAAUGUUGAGAAGGUUUUUUAAGUACAUACUUUAAAAAGUCAUAUUUCAAGACUAUGUUUUCUGACAGCUGUGAAAUAACAAUGUAAUUGCAUCAUAACUGUGAAAUACAACUUUUUCUUUCUUGUAGAAAGUGGAUAUUUUGCCAAUUCUGACAUGUGUACAACAGCUUCAGGGCAUAUCAUAUUUCCUGAUUAAUUAAAUUCCACUAUCUUCCUUGUCAGAUUCAUCACCACCUUAUCCAAAAGUUAAGUAGAUUAAAUACAUAAAACAAAAGUAGGUAGUUUGAAAAAUACAAGUAUACUUUCUUUUGUGAUUAUACAUUUAGAGGCAGCAUAUAUAGAAAAAUGUACGUUAAGUAAUUUUAUAAUAACCAUUUUGAUGAUUAAUUUUUCUUUUCUCAUCAACAGCUGUAAUAGACAGGAGAGGUUUCAUAUGAAUUGGUAGAAUUCUCCUCAAAUACUAGUUUAAAAGCAUCCAGUUAUCCCCAAAUGACUCUUUUAAUUUAGAAAUAUUACUGUGGAAGUUCAAAUUUUUAAAUAUCAAUGCAGGGGGAGAGUAUGUAAUUAAUCCUUUUAGGAAAAAAAAACCAGCUUUAGUUACAAAUUGUGCAUUAGUAAGUUUGGUCAUGUUAUCAUGAAAGAAAUAUAAAUGCAUUGAUUCAUAAAAUCUAAUUCAUUUGAUAAGCGCUUUAAAUUGAAGCAGAGGACAUUAGUUACAGCAGGUUUUGUAGUUACGUAAGAUCUUUUUGGGAUUAUAACAUAAUAAAAGACAGUAACUUUUGUGAGCA